GUUUUAAAAAAGAUACAGGGAAAAUUAGCCCGGCCCCUGCACAAGGACGACAAAUGUGGAGCAUUUGAUAUUCCAUAAAGUUUU
This is a small nuclear RNA of Cricetulus griseus (Chinese hamster), 84 nucleotides long. Lineage: Eukaryota; Metazoa; Chordata; Mammalia; Rodentia; Cricetidae. The record is from Ensembl.